AGAGUUUGAUCCUGGCUCAGAACGAACGCUGGCGGCAGGCCUAACACAUGCAAGUCGAGCGCGCCUUCGGGUGAGCGGCGGACGGGUUAGUAACGCGUGGGAACGUGCCCUUUUCUACGGAAUAGCCUCUGGAAACGGAGAGUAAUACCGUAUACGCCCUUUGGGGGAAAGAUUUAUCGGAGAAGGAUCGGCCCGCGUUAGAUUAGGUAGUUGGUGGGGUAACGGCCUACCAAGCCUACGAUCUAUAGCUGGUUUUAGAGGAUGAUCAGCAACACUGGGACUGAGACACGGCCCAGACUCCUACGGGAGGCAGCAGUGGGGAAUCUUAGACAAUGGGGGCAACCCUGAUCUAGCCAUGCCGCGUGAGUGAUGAAGGCCUUAGGGUCGUAAAGCUCUUUCGCCUGUGAUGAUAAUGACAGUAGCAGGUAAAGAAACCCCGGCUAACUCCGUGCCAGCAGCCGCGGUAAUACGGAGGGGGUUAGCGUUGUUCGGAAUUACUGGGCGUAAAGCGCGCGUAGGCGGAUUAGAAAGUUGGGGGUGAAAUCCCGAGGCUCAACCUCGGAACUGCCUUCAAAACUGCUAGUCUAGAGUUCGAGAGAGGUGAGUGGAAUUCCGAGUGUAGAGGUGAAAUUCGUAGAUAUUCGGAGGAACACCAGUGGCGAAGGCGGCUCACUGGCUCGAUACUGACGCUGAGGUGCGAAAGUGUGGGGAGCAAACAGGAUUAGAUACCCUGGUAGUCCACACCGUAAACGAUGAAUGCCAGUCGUCGGAUAGUAUACUACUCGGUGACACACCUAACGGAUUAAGCAUUCCGCCUGGGGAGUACGGUCGCAAGAUUAAAACUUAAAGGAAUUGACGG
Molecule: ribosomal RNA, 859 nt
Filed under: uncultured marine bacterium
Lineage: Bacteria
Description: bacterial SSU rRNA
Rfam family: Bacterial small subunit ribosomal RNA
Source: RNAcentral